RNAcentral lists this transfer RNA (75 nucleotides) under Betaproteobacteria bacterium RIFCSPLOWO2_12_FULL_68_19. Its description in RNAcentral is "tRNA-Thr". It matches the Rfam family "tRNA". Rfam says of the family: Transfer RNA (tRNA) molecules are approximately 80 nucleotides in length. The record is from RNAcentral. Lineage: Bacteria; Pseudomonadati; Pseudomonadota; Betaproteobacteria.
GCCGGUUUAGCUCAGGGGCAGAGCAACCGCCUUGUAAGCGGUAGGUCGUCCGUUCGAUUCGGACAGCCGGCACCA